GGGUCCGUAGCUCAAUGGGAGAGCACUCGGUUUGCACCCGAGCGGUCCGGGUUCGAGUCCCGGCGGUUCCA
RNAcentral lists this transfer RNA (71 nucleotides) under Myxococcus fulvus. RNAcentral describes it as "tRNA_Ala_TGC". It matches the Rfam family "tRNA". From Rfam's summary of the family: Transfer RNA (tRNA) molecules are approximately 80 nucleotides in length. Their secondary structure includes four short double-helical elements and three loops (D, anti-codon, and T loops). Further hydrogen bonds mediate the characteristic L-shaped molecular structure. tRNAs have two regions of fundamental functional importance: the anti-codon, which is responsible for specific mRNA codon recognition, and the 3' end, to which the tRNAs corresponding amino acid is attached (by aminoacyl-tRNA synthetases). tRNAs cope with the degeneracy of the genetic code in two manners: having more than one tRNA (with a specific anti-codon) for a particular amino acid; and 'wobble' base-pairing, i.e. permitting non-standard base-pairing at the 3rd anti-codon position. Lineage: Bacteria; Pseudomonadati; Myxococcota; Myxococcia; Myxococcales; Myxococcaceae. The record is from RNAcentral. RNAcentral also lists the same sequence under 7 other names.